Molecule: ribosomal RNA, 421 nt
Filed under: bacterium
Lineage: Bacteria
Description: partial 16S ribosomal RNA
Rfam family: Bacterial small subunit ribosomal RNA
Source: RNAcentral
UGGGGAAUUUUGCACAAUGGGGGGAACCUUGAUGCAGCGACGCCGCGUGAGGGAUGGAGGCCUUCGGGUUGUGAACCUCUUUCGCUCGUGUGCAAGCCGCUAUUUGGGUAGUGGUGAGUGUAGCGGGUAAAGAAGCGCCGGCUAACUACGUGCCAGCAGCCGCGGUAAUACGUAGGGCGCGAGCGUUGUCCGGAUUUAUUGGGCGUAAAGGGCUUGUAGGCGGUUGGUCGCGCCUGUCGUGUAAUCCUCUGGCUUAACUGGGGGUGUGCGGUGGGUACGGGCAGGCUUGAGUGCGGUAGGGGAGAUUGGAAUUCCUGGUGUAGCGGUGGAAUGCGCAGAUAUCUGGAGGAACACCGGUGGCGAAGGCGGGUCUCUGGGCCGUUACUGACGCUGAGGAGCGAAAGCGUGGGGAGCGAACAGG